This 353-nucleotide unclassified non-coding RNA is filed under the name soil metagenome. RNAcentral's name for it is "partial contains 5.8S ribosomal RNA, internal transcribed spacer 2, and large subunit ribosomal RNA". The stretch from base 1 to 120 matches the Rfam family "5.8S ribosomal RNA", at positions 35 to 154 of the family's 154-position model. The record is from RNAcentral.
GAUGAAGAACGCAGCGAAAUGCGAUAAGUAAUGUGAAUUGCAGAAUUCAGUGAAUCAUCGAAUCUUUGAACGCACAUUGCGCCCGCCAGUAUUCUGGCGGGCAUGCCUGUUCGAGCGUCAUUACAACCCUCAGGCCCCCGGGCCUGGCGUUGGGGAUCGGCGGAAGCCCCCUGCGGGCACAACGCCGUCCCCCAAAUACAGUGGCGGUCCCGCCGCAGCUUCCAUUGCGUAGUAGCUAACACCUCGCACUGGGAAACAGCGCGGCCACGCCGUUAAACCCCCAACUUCUGAACGUUUGACCUCGGAUCAGGUAGGAAUACCCGCUGAACUUAAGCAUAUCAAUAAGCGGAGGA